This 18-nucleotide transfer RNA is filed under the name Eurycea quadridigitata. RNAcentral describes it as "partial tRNA-Met". The record is from RNAcentral. Lineage: Eukaryota; Metazoa; Chordata; Amphibia; Caudata; Plethodontidae.
UAGUAAAAUAAGCUAAAU